CCCUUAGAUGUUCUGGGCCGCACGCGCGCUACAAUGAUGAAUUCAACGAGUUUAUAACCUUGGUUGAAAAGCCUGGGUAAUCUUUUGAACUUUCGUCGUGAUGGGGCUAGACCCUUGCAAUUAUUGGUCUCCAACGAGGAAUUCCUAGUAAACGCAAGUCAUCAGCUUGCAUUGAUUACGUCCCUGCCCUUUGUACACACCGCCCGUCGCACCUACCGAUUGAAUGGUCCGGUGAAAUCUUCGGAUUGAGACUUUGUUUUCUUCACGGAAAACGCUGUUUUAAAAAGUUGAUUAAACCUUACCAUUUAGAGGAAGGUGANGUCGUAACA
RNAcentral lists this ribosomal RNA (329 nucleotides) under uncultured eukaryote. Its description in RNAcentral is "partial 18S ribosomal RNA". It matches the Rfam family "Eukaryotic small subunit ribosomal RNA", at positions 1470 to 1796 of the family's 1831-position model. The record is from RNAcentral.